Molecule: long non-coding RNA, 269 nt
Organism: Anneissia japonica
Lineage: Eukaryota; Metazoa; Echinodermata; Crinoidea; Comatulida; Comatulidae
Exons: 3
Source: RefSeq, a predicted model, not a curated record
GUACAUGCAGUGCAGGCUGGGAAGGGACUCAUUGUGAACAAGCAAUUGAUCUGUGUUUAUCCACCCCAUGUGAGAAUGGAGGAGUCUGCAAUAACUUUCAGACAAGUUACAACUGUACAUGCAGUGCAGGCUGGGAAGGGACACACUGUGAACAAGCAAUUGAUCUGUGUUUACCAUCCCCAUGUGAGAAUGGUGGAGUCUGCAAUAACUUUCUGACAAGUUACAACUGUACAUGCAGUGCAGGCUGGGAAGGGACUCAUUGUGAACAA